UCGUUCGCCCGAGAAGAAGACGCAUUCCUACUGUGCUCACCGGUGGCUCAUCUAGCCGUCCCAUGAACCUUUUCCCGAAUGAAAGAUCAAGAAGCAUCUUCGCCUUGCUUGAUGGGUAUGAUGAUCGGUCUGAUAAUGGUCCGCCACCAUCACUAGAUUCCCAUAUGGAAAUGAACACUGACGACGUUCCUGUCGUUAAUGUCCAAGACUCCAGUGAUGGGGAAGGUACCGACGAAGCUACUUCCCGUCCGGGCUAUUGCAAGAUAUGCAUUAUGGAGAGCAAGAAAGUAAAGACUCAUGGCGAAGCUAGUAACCAAAUCAGGAAUGAGACACCUCUAAAGUGUGUUAUUUGCUUCUCCGCAACUACUGAAGGGGGCACCCACCAUCCCCAGUAUGUUUCUUUACCAUUUAUCACCAACCUCUAUUUUUUUAUUUGCUGGUUUAAUCUGCUUCCAUCUUUGAUGUGUGUGGAUGUUGUCAUUUAGUGCCAUGAGGUGUGGUCAUAUCUUUGGGAAGAGCUGCAUCGAUUCAUGGAUUGGUGCGAAGAUGCCGUCGACCGUAAGCCCAUGUUUGUUCUUUUGGGUGAAUGUUUAUUUUUUUCAUUUUUUUUUCAUGCAUCUACGUUUUGCAUAUGUUUGCGUCGGCUGUAGUGUCCAGUGUGCACUCAAGUUUCGCAAGAUUCCAUGCUCAUCCAUCUGUUCGUAACAUCCGCGAUUCCCGACAUGCUGGAGAAUGCUUUGGAAAAGGCAGAUGGGGUGAACCAACUCAAGAUGAAACACUGUGCUGAAAAAGUGACGCUCAUCGGGCUGAACACCAUGCUAUUCAAAUGUGUGAAGAACUAUGUUGAAGCACUUGCAAUGGGUUGUGGAAUAUUGUCACCUGGCCCUUAGGUGGAAUGGGUUAUAUUUUGCUUUUGAUCGUGUUGCGGAGAAGAAGUAACUCAUGCCAAAUCCAUGCUCGCUGUUAGAUUUCCCAGAAAAUCUUUUUUGCUAUGCGUAUAAUGCAUAUGUUAGUUUCAUAGAUUUCGUGGAAAUCUUUUUCUUUUGAAAUUCCUUGUCGGAAUAUUAGCAUGGACAACUAUUUUGUA
Molecule: long non-coding RNA, 1087 nt
Organism: Salvia miltiorrhiza (redroot sage)
Lineage: Eukaryota; Viridiplantae; Streptophyta; Magnoliopsida; Lamiales; Lamiaceae
Exons: 4
Source: RefSeq, a predicted model, not a curated record